This 1464-nucleotide ribosomal RNA is filed under the name uncultured Bordetella sp. Its description in RNAcentral is "partial 16S-23S ribosomal RNA intergenic spacer". It matches the Rfam family "Bacterial small subunit ribosomal RNA". The record is from RNAcentral. Lineage: Bacteria; Pseudomonadati; Pseudomonadota; Betaproteobacteria; Burkholderiales; Alcaligenaceae.
GUUUGAUUCAUCCGGUUGAGCACUGGCAGGAUGCUUUACACAUGCAAAGUCGAACAGCAGCACGGACUUCUGAUCUGGUGGCGAGUGAAGUGGGUGAUAAUGUAUCGGAACGUGCCUAAUACAGCAGGGAUAACUACGCGAGGCAGCUAAUACCAUAUACGCCCUUCGGAGGAAAACGGAGGACCUUCGGGCCUCACUGUGAAACGACCGAUAUCGGAUUAUGGCUAGUUGGUGGGGUAACGGCUCGCAAGGCGACGAUCCGUAGCUGGUUUGAGGAGGACGACCAGCCACCUGGGACUGAGACACGGCCCAGACUCCUACGGGGAGGAAUACAACAGUGGAAUUUUGGACAAUGGGGAAACCUGAUCAGCCAUCCCGCGUGUGCGAUGAAGGCCUUCGGGUUAUCAACGCUUUUGGCGGGAAAGAAACGGCACAGGAUAAUGCCCCGUGCAACUGACGUACCUGCAGAAUAAGCACCGGCUAACUACGUGCCAGCAGCCGCGGUAAUACGUAAGGGUGCAAGCGUUAAUCAGAUUACUGGGCGUAAAGCAUUGCGCAGGCGGUUCGAAAGAAGAUGGCAAAUCUGAACGCUUUGGAACUGCAUUUUUAACUACCGAGCUAGAGUGUGUCAGAGGGAGGUGGAAUUCCGCGUGUAGCAGUGAAAUGUGCAGAUGUGCGGAGGAACACCGAUGGCGAAAACGACGCCUCUGGGAUAACACUGACAUAUGCACGGCAAGUGAGGAGCAAACGGGAUGAAUGCCCUGUUUGAUCCACGCCCUAAACGAUGUCUAUUAGCUGUUGAGGCCUUCGGGCCUUGGUAGCGCAGCUAACGCGUGAAGUUGACCGCCUGGGAAUUACGGUCGCAAGAUUAAAACUCAAAGGAAUUGACGGGGACCCGCACAAGCGGUGGAUGAUGUGGAUUAAUUCGAUGCAACGCGAAAAACCUUACCUACCCUUGACAUGUCUGGGCCCGAAAGAGAUUUGGGAGUGCUCGCAAAGAGAACCGGAACACAGGUGCUGCAUGGCUGUCGUCAGCUCGUGUCGUGAGAUGUUGGGUUAAGUCCGCAACGAGCGCAACCCUUGUCAUUAGUUGCUACGAAAGGGCACUCAGCUGAGACUGCCGGUGACAAACCGGAGGAAGGUGGGGAUGACGUCAGUCCUCAUGGCCCUUAUGGGUAGGGCUUCACACGUCAUACAAUGGUCGGGACAGAGGGUCGCCAACCCGCGAGGGGAGCCAAUCCCAGAAACCCGAUCGUAGUCGGAUCUGAUCUGCAACUCGACUGCGUGAAGUCGGAAUCGCUAGUAAUCGCGGAUCAGCAUGUCGCGGUGAAUACGUUCCCGGGUCUUGUACACACCGCCCGUCACACCAUGGGAGUGGGUUUUACCAGAAGUAGUUAGCCUAACCGUAAGGAGGGCGAUUACCACGGUAGGAUUCAUGACUGGGGUGAAGUCGUAACAAGGUAG